This 511-nucleotide ribosomal RNA is filed under the name Phymata acutangula. RNAcentral describes it as "partial 16S ribosomal RNA". It matches the Rfam family "Bacterial large subunit ribosomal RNA", at positions 1828 to 2600 of the family's 2925-position model. The record is from RNAcentral. Lineage: Eukaryota; Metazoa; Arthropoda; Insecta; Hemiptera; Phymatidae.
GUCUUUUAGAGUUUAUUAAAAGUCUGACCUGCCCAAUGAAUAAUUGAAUGGCCGCGGUAUUUUGACCGUGCAAAGGUAGCAUAAUCAUUUGUCUUUUAAUUGAAGGCUGGAAUGAAUGGUUGGACGAAAAAUUGACUAUCCUUAAUAUAAUAGCAGAACUUAAUUUUUAAGUUAAAAAGCUUAAAUUUAAUUAAGGGACGAGAAGACCCUAUAGAACUUUAUCAUUUAUUUUUCUCCCACAAUUUUUUAUCACUUGUGGGAGAGUUGUGAUUGCUUUUGUUGGGGUGAUAUGGAAAUUUAAAUAACUUUCUUUUUUUCUGUUCAUUAAUUAUUGUAUUUUUAGAUCCAGAGUAAAUUCUGAUUGUAAGUUUAAGUUACCUUAGGGAUAACAGCGUAAUUCUUUUGGAGAGUUCAUAUCGAUGAAAGAGUUUGCGACCUCGAUGUUGGAUUAAAGUUAGUAUUAGGAGUAGAUAUUUAUAUACUAGGUCUGUUCGACCUUUAAAAUUUUACA